CAGCGACGCAGUUGGGGAGGAGGGCGUGGCUUCCGGCGUUUGGCUGGGCCUCUGUCUCGGGCUCGGGCCGGAGCCUGGGAUCCAUCUCUCCUCUUCCGCGUGUUGCCCCUCGGGAGCCCUCGGUGACUUUGUCACAGCCUCUGUUGCCGUGAGAUCUGCAGGUACUGGAAGAUGCAUAGCUAAGAUGCCAGGACAUCCUGGAAACUGGGAAAUGAUGAAAACACCUUCAUUGUCAUGUGGAAAUGAUUCCUGACAGUACGCCCUGAGAGAUGACCAAAAGAAAGGCAGUUGGUUUUUGUGCUCUGGCUUCUGAGAUUUGGCCUAAGUGUCUCUAGUGAGAUACAUUAGGGGAGGUGAGAACAUGUGGUUGCCUGUGAGUCUCGACCAGUGCUUUUCAGUUUGUCUGCGUCUUGUUAUUGGGCCACAAGAACACACAGCCAGACCCAGUUUGGUCCAGGAACAACAUUUGGCAAGCUAGCCAAGAGUCCCUGAAAUGGUGCUGCACUCAGUGACCCGUGAUUGUGGCGAGAUGAUUAUUUGGAGACUCCCAGAAGCUGCUGGAUAAGAUAGACCUGGGGAUUCUCCCAGGGGCUAUCCCAUGUACAAAAACCACAUGUCCCUCUCACCACUGGGGAGGAAUGGUGAUCAGGCAGGAGCAGAUGCACUCAUAGGACAUUCUUGCAUUAAGACCAUUUGGCAGCCUGUGGGUACAAGGUCUCAAGCAAAAGGGUACAGGGGUACAGAUAUGCAAACAAACUGUGGGAUACUUAGGAUUUUUGUUACAGAGAGAAACCAGAGCCCUGACAGUGGAGAGGCAAAAUGCAGUUGCCUCUAUCACGACACCCACAACCAGAAAGCAGCUAAGGGGCUUCCUGGGAAUGGCAGGGUUCUGUAGAACCUGGAUUUCCAAUUAUGGCUGAUGGUAAAGCUGCUAUAUGAACUGUUAAAAGGGGCCAACCACAACCCCUUUAAAUGCAUUGGAGCUGAAACACCAGAAUGCGUUUGAACAACUAAAGCUUAAGAUGACAUCUGCCCCAUCUCUGGGGCUGCCAAAUCCUCAUAAACCCUUGCAACUUUAUGUGCAUGAAAGACUGGGUCUGGCACUCGGGAUCCUAACACAAAAACUGAAAGAAAUAUUGCAACCAGUGGCUUAUUUGUCAAAAGGCUCGAUACCGUGGCAAGGGGCUGGACUGGACCCCUUGUCUCAAAGCAGUAGCUGCCACCUGUUUGUUGCUCAAGGGAGCUAAGAAGCUGACUUUGGGUCAGCCCAUCAUGAUUUAUGUGCCCCAUCAAACCUGGUGUUAUUUGAGCAGAAGGGUGGCUACUGGCUGACAGGUUGGCAGAUUAGGCUGAUAUCAGGCCAUCCUGCUUGAUAAUCCUGCAGUAAAACUGCAGACCACUGGAGCCUCAAACCCCGCCAUUUUGCCGCCACCUACUGGGGAACAAAGGAACUAGUACACAACUGCCUAGAGGUUAUCAUCAAGUAUUUUCUGGUCUCCCAGAUCUAAAGGAUGCAGCCCUCCCCUGUGCACACUGGUUGCUGUUCAUGGAUGGAAGCAGCUUAGUCACCAAGAAAGGAGAAAUGCUGCCUAUGCUGUAGUAACUCUCUUGGAGAGAGAGAGUAGCAGAGGCAAGAACACUCCAGACAGGGACUUCUGCGGAAAAGGCCGAGUUAGUUGCUUUUACCAGAGCCUUGCAACUGUCCCAAGGUGAGAGCACCAAUAUCUACGCUGAUUCCAAAUAGUCCUUCAUGAUAAUCCAUGCACACGGAGCUAUUUGGAAGGAAAGGGAACUGCUAAAAGCUGAUAAUACUGAAAUUUAAUAUGCUAAGCAAGUGUUGGAGCUGUUGGAGGCAGUAAAAGCUUCGAGAAAAAUAGCUGCUGUGCAUUGUCCAGGCCAUAAGCGCAGCAAUUUCAAACCAGCUAGGGGAAACACCGUCACCUACCGCACAGCCAGGCAUCUAGCCAGCACCAGUGCCAAGGUCCAGGCACCUUUCAUUUCCCAAGUAGAUUUGGCAGCUUUCAAACCCCAGUAUAGUUUGAGGAUGAAAAGAGUGCCAAAGACAAAGGGUUUAUUCAAGACAAGGAAGGCUGGAAAGUAAAUAACGAGGGCCUGGUUUGGGUGCCAGCACAGCUUCCUUCAACCCAAUGCUAAAAUAUAUUCAUGAUAGCACGCAUUUUGGAUGAGAUGCCUCGUUAACUUUUGUGCAAAAAAUAUAUGAAGGAAAAGAGACUGAAGGCUCACUUGAAAAGUAUAAUACAACAUUGCCAUCUUUGCACUGAAAAUGAGACCAAUAACUAUAGCAGAGGACAACCCAGACAACAGGCAAGAGGGAAGCAUCUACUAGAAAAUUGGCAGAUUGGCUUUACUCAAAUGCCACUUGCCUUUGGAGGGUACAAAUACCUCUUAGUUGUAGUGGACACUCUCAGGCUGGGUGGAAGCAUACCUAUAUCAUACCGAGUGGCCAACAGAGGUAGUUAAAGUGCAGCUAAAGAACAUCAUACCCCGAUAUGGGCUCCCUGACAUUAUUCAUAGUGAAAAUGGGCCUUCAUUUACCUUGGAAAUAACCCAACAAGUAAGCAAAACGCUAGAAAUAAAAUGGAAGCUGCACUCGGCAUGGAAGCCUCAAUCCUCUGGACAGACUGAAAGAAUUCAUCAUACUUUAAAGACAACUCUUGCUAAGCUAUGUCAGGAAACUCAGUUAAAAUGGAUUCAGGUACUUGGGAUUGCACUGCUCUGGGUAAGAAUAACCCCCAGAAAUGGGAUUAAAUUAAGUCCUUAUGAAAUUAUUUUUGAGAGGCCCUUUGUAGCCUUGUCCUGGGUUGCUAGAGUGUCACUGGAUACAGAAUUAGCUGUUAGAACUUACGUCACUCAGGAUGAACUCUUAACCAUUUGCAUAAGUUUGCUUCUUAGAGGAAUGUCACAGAUUUUGUAGGAGAUUGCCACCCAUUUCAGCCUUGUGAUCAAGUGCUGCUGAAGGAAUGGAGAGAAGCUGAUCCUGCCCAACAGCUACAGGAAAAAUGGAAAGGGCCCUAUGACGUGCUGUUGACUAAUGACUUGGCACUGAAGCUGACAGGCAUCAAAUCCUGGGUUCAUCAUAGGUGAGUGAAGAAAUUCCAGUCAACCGGGGCCUCCACAACGGAAACAUCUGCCGCCACUCAAUGGGAAAUGGAACCCCUGGAGGACUUAAAGUUCCUAUUCAGAAAAUGAUACAGAUUUCUUUUAUGCUAUGCUUCCUUUUACACCUCUUACUAUUGCAUCACACACUUAUAACCCCUGUCUACAAUGGGCACAGGACUAUGCAGACAGCCUCCAGCAGGAUUCCUGUUGGGUCUGUGGCCUGUAACCACUUUCUAGCACCACAGGUCAGCCUUGGUGGGUCUCACCUGUGCAAGGAAAAGACUAGGCAUACCUACAAACCUUUCUAGGAAAUUUAAAAACUGCAUUGGGUUGCAAAUGACUGGGAUAACUAAAGCAAGUGUGUCAGAAUGGCCCACAAAUGAGACUUUAAGUGAGCCAGGACACAAAAAGCCAUUCUCUUUAAUAGAACAAGGGUCCAAGUUAUAGGAUUAGCUACUCUUUUAUUAGAUUCAAAAGUGCCCAUUCAAACCUUCAAGCCCCAAAAUGUUUGAUACAAGAAUGACUUUCCCCAAAUUUGGGAUGGUUUCAUUUGGUUAACUGCUUUUACUGGACAUUUGAGACAAAUAGCCUCCUUGUUCUUUGAGCAAUGAAAACAUUUCCUUGACCAUUGGCCUAAUGCAACUCAGGUUAUAGGAUGGAUUCCCUCUGAGUGGUACCAAUAUAUUAUAGUACUCCAGCAGAGGGAUAUGUUCACCACAGAUUGGUCUCAAAUGGCCUGGCCUAAAUUGGUAUCCUCCCAGCACAACUCAGUGGCUUUGCAGCACCAACCUAUGGCCAUGGCUUCCCUUGGGCUGGUAGGGAUGUUGCACUCUAGGCUUCCCAUAGGCAUAAAGUCAUUAGGUAAAAACCAUUCAAAAUCUGCCCAAUCUUCCACAUAUGAUUAACAGAUGGACCAGGUCAGUCUUUCACUGGUACAACCAUCUAUCUGCAAUAUUCAUGCUCUUAAUAGGAUUAGAUAAUGUUACAUGGCACAUAGAGGCAUUAGCCAACUUUACUUAGUGGGCUCUAAGUGACAGCUUCCAAAGCAUUUCUCUUAUAAAUACUGAAAUGUAUCAUAUGUGAAAGGCUAUUUUGCAAAAUCGAAUGGCCUUACUGCAGCCCAAGGGGGAGCUCAUGCCCUCAUCAAAACCGAAUGCUGUGUGUAUAUUCUGAAUAAUUCUGGGAAUGUCUUUCUAACACUAAAGGGUAUACGUCAGCAAAUUCUAGCCAUUUCUAGCCCGCAGUUAUCACAAAAUGAUUGACUUGCAUCAUGACUCAGCACAGAACCUUCUUGUUGGCAGGAAGUCCUGGCAUUCUUUGCUGUUUUCCUAGGCUUAAGUAUAUCUCUGUGCUGUGUAAUGCAUUGCUGCUAUAUACUGUGUGCUGUUUCACAACAUUCUCCAAACUCAUGCCAUCAUGUUUCAGCAGGUGCUGCUGCUGAAAGCCUGAGGCAAAUAGUAUUUCCAAGAGCAAAUGAACCUCUGCCACUCUAAUCCCAUGUUCACUGCCCCCUAACAGUGACCCCCCUCAGCAGGAAGUAGCCAGAAUGAUCACGAUGUCCCGCAUCCCAGCAGUCUAUCCAGCUUGGGCAUGAUAGAAAUGAUGCGCAAAUUGACAGUGGGGAUUGUGGCAGGCCAAUUCUUCCUAACAGUCACACAGACAGGCCUCCAUAGCAUUCCAGUUAUACAUUCAGACUUCCACAGCAUCUGCCUUAACAUUAAGUUAGUAAUUAAACCUAGGGAAAUUGAUGCCCAGACACCAAAGCCAGAAAUGAAACAUAUGUUUGGUAAGAAUCUUGCCCAGGCUUCUCCUGAAACUUGAGACAAGUCAAGAUAAUAAAGAAAGACAGACCUACAUUCCUUGUACCAGGACCCAUCUUGGGUCAGAUAAAUUUAUUGGGGCUCUGAAGCAACUCUCCAGACACAAACCAUAGGUAAGAUAGGACAGAAGUAAUCACACUGGUACCAGGGCCCUCACAGAUUAAGUAGAUUUAGGGGACAUUUCUGGGCUCUGAUAUUUUAGUUAAAACAAAAUUAAUCACCCAUAAACUUAGGCAAGUAUAAUAUUAUACGUAGGCAUAUAGUUUGAAACAUAUAUAAGUACUGGAAGAACUUUAGAAUCUUGAGUUGGUCUGGUGAAUUAUCUCUGACUUUCUCCUUGUACCCAGUUACAGAAAUAAACUCUCUUCUUUUCCA
Non-coding RNA from Macaca mulatta (Rhesus monkey), 5315 nucleotides. The record is from RefSeq and is a predicted model, not a curated record. Lineage: Eukaryota; Metazoa; Chordata; Mammalia; Primates; Cercopithecidae.